Molecule: non-coding RNA, 144 nt
Organism: Rhizobium mesoamericanum STM3625
Lineage: Bacteria; Pseudomonadati; Pseudomonadota; Alphaproteobacteria; Hyphomicrobiales; Rhizobiaceae
Source: Rfam
GAUCGUGUUUGAUCGCGUCGAGGGUCUGAUAGCUGGCUUGUCCCCCGCCGCAUCGGACUUGGACAAAGGCCUUAUCCCCUCUCCGGGCCUUUGUCCCCAUUUUAGAGCCGCCAUAGCCAGACCUCCAGGCUAUGGCGGCUUUGU